Molecule: non-coding RNA, 165 nt
Filed under: Thalassionema frauenfeldii
Lineage: Eukaryota; Bacillariophyta; Fragilariophyceae; Thalassionematales; Thalassionemataceae
Source: RNAcentral
UCAAAUGGCAGGUGGCGGCGAUCCGUACAAGCAACAACAACAACCAACAACACAAUCGCCCUACCACCACCAUCAUCACCACCACCACCACAGCAGUAGUAGUAGCAGCAGCAAGCCUCCGACCACAUCUCAUGCCGCAACAACAACAACACCCAACAAGGAAAC